GACGAACGCUGGCGGCGUGCCUAAUACAUGCAAGUAGAACGCUGAAGCUUGGUGCUUGCACCGAGCGGAUGAGUUGCGAACGGGUGAGUAACGCGUAGGUAACCUGCCUGGUAGCGGGGGAUAACUAUUGGAAACGAUAGCUAAUACCGCAUAAGAGUAGAUGUUGCAUGACAUUUGCUUAAAAGGUGCAAUUGCAUCACUACCAGAUGGACCUGCGUUGUAUUAGCUAGUUGGUGAGGUAACGGCUCACCAAGGCAACGAUACAUAGCCGACCUGAGAGGGUGGUCGGCCACACUGGGACUGAGACACGGCCCAGGCUCCUACGGGAGGGAGCAGUAGGGAAUCUUCGGCAAUGGACGGAAGUCUGACCGAGCAACGCCGCGUGAGUGAAGAAGGUUUUCGGAUCGUAAAGCUCUGUUGUAAGAGAAGAACGAGUGUGAGAGUGGAAAGUUCACACUGUGACGGUAUCUUACCAGAAAGGGACGGCUAACUACGUG
This 497-nucleotide ribosomal RNA is filed under the name uncultured bacterium. Its description in RNAcentral is "partial 16S ribosomal RNA". It matches the Rfam family "Bacterial small subunit ribosomal RNA", at positions 28 to 507 of the family's 1533-position model. The record is from RNAcentral.